This 930-nucleotide long non-coding RNA is filed under the name Gallus gallus (chicken). RNAcentral describes it as "lncRNA (ENSGALG00010000337.1)". The record is from RNAcentral. Lineage: Eukaryota; Metazoa; Chordata; Aves; Galliformes; Phasianidae.
GGCUCCUCCCCGCGCCUCGGGCAGCUCGGGCAGCUCGGGGCCGUGCGGGGACGGCCGUGCGGGGACGGCGAGCCCCGGGCCCCGCGCCGCCCGUGUGCGGGCCGUGCGAUCGCCGCUAACGGCCGGCCCCGCUCGGUGCGUUGCAGCCGGGAGCGCCUGGCACCGCGCUGACCGUCCGCCCGUGGAGCCGGCAGCGGAGGACGAGCGGCGGCACGACGAGGACCGGCACGACGACGACGACGACGACGACGACGACGAGGACGAGCGGAGCCUGCGGACGGCCCUCAAGAAGCUGCGGCUGGACGCGGCGCGGCGGCACGAGGACGAGGAGGAGCAGCAGCAGCAGCAGCAGGACGACGACGAGGACGAGGACGACGACGACGAGGACGAGGAGGAGCGCAGCCUGCGGACGGCCCUCCAGGAGCUGCGGGUGGACGCGGCGCGGUGUGAGAGGACUGCAGGAGGACCGGCCGGUCUCUCACGGCACGGACGUUCCAGGUCUCCUGUCCUAUCCAUCUGUGAAACAGCCCUGUGCAGCCCUCCCGCAUCCCGUUCUGUGGAGGCUCACGCUUAUGUCAGUGACGUGACUGUGGAAGACCUGGCAGGGUACCUGGAACACCAUCUGCAUAUACCAAAGAAAAUGUCUGCCAUGGCAGAAAUGAUGUAUUCAUAACCAAACAGCAAAAACAGUCACAGUACUAAGCGCUAUCAGAAAUUUAAAUGGCUCGUUUGUGCCAUAUUUGUAAUGUUCUGUUUCAUCAAAUGUCUUAUUACACGGUACAGUUUAGUUUUGUAAUUAAGAGAAAAACUGUACAUAGUUGCAUAGACUCCUGUGGCUGAAAUGAUGUAUACUUAACUGAAAGCCAUACUCAGUCACAUAGUAAUACAGUUUAUUUUUGUAACUCGAAUAAAAACUGUAUAUAGUCUCAU